This 253-nucleotide ribosomal RNA is filed under the name uncultured bacterium. RNAcentral's name for it is "partial 16S ribosomal RNA". It matches the Rfam family "Bacterial small subunit ribosomal RNA", at positions 524 to 776 of the family's 1533-position model. The record is from RNAcentral.
UACGUAGGGGGCAAGCGUUGUCCGGAUUUAUUGGGCGUAAAGAGCGUGUAGGCGGCUAGAUAGGUCCGUUGUGAAAACUCGAGGCUCAACCUCGAGACGUCGAUGGAAACCAUCUGGCUAGAGUCCGGAAGAGGAGAGUGGAAUUCCUGGUGUAGCGGUGAAAUGCGCAGAUAUCGUAAGGAAGACCAGUGGCGAAGGCGGGUCUCUGGACAGUUCCUGACGCUGAGGCACGAAGGCCAGGGGAGCAAACGGG